UACGGGGGGAGCAAGCGUUGUUCGGAUUUACUGGGCGUAAAGGGCGCGUAGGCGGCCAGUACAGGUCAGUUGUGAAAUCUCCGAGCUUAACUCGGAAAGGUCAACUGAUACUGUGCGGCUAGAGUGCGGAAGGGGCAACUGGAAUUCUUGGUGUAGCGGUGAAAUGCGUAGAUAUCAAGAGGAACACCUGCGGCGAAGGCGGGUUGCUGGGCCGACACUGACGCUGAGGCGCGAAAGCCAGGGGAGCGAACGGG
Molecule: ribosomal RNA, 254 nt
Filed under: uncultured bacterium
Lineage: Bacteria
Description: partial 16S ribosomal RNA
Rfam family: Bacterial small subunit ribosomal RNA
Source: RNAcentral